This 661-nucleotide ribosomal RNA is filed under the name uncultured bacterium. Its description in RNAcentral is "bacterial SSU rRNA". It matches the Rfam family "Bacterial small subunit ribosomal RNA", at positions 47 to 675 of the family's 1533-position model. The record is from RNAcentral.
CCUAACACAUGCAAGUCGAACGCCGGUUACUACUGCUUCGCAAGAAGUAGUAGUGACUGAGUGGCGAACGGGUGAGUAACACGUGGGUGACCUGCCUUCGAGUGGGGGAUAACAUUCCGAAAGGAGUGCUAAUACCGCAUGACAUCCUGCCUUUGAAGAGGCGGUGAUUAAAGCUGGGGAUCGUAAGACCUGGCGCUUGAAGAGGGGCCCGCGUCCGAUUAGCUAGUUGGUGGGGUAAUGGCCUACCAAGGCGACGAUCGGUAGCCGGCCUGAGAGGGCGGACGGCCACACUGGGACUGAGACACGGCCCAGACUCCUACGGGAGGCAGCAGUGGGGAAUUGUUCGCAAUGGGCGCAAGCCUGACGACGCAACGCCGCGUGGAGGAUGAAGAUUUUCGGAUCGUAAACUCCUUUCGAUCGGGACGAAUGGCUAGUGGUCGAAUACACCAUUAGAUUGACGGUACCGAGAGAAGAAGCCCCGGCUAACUCCGUGCCAGCAGCCGCGGUAAUACGGGGGGGGCAAGCGUUGUUCGGAAUUACUGGGCGUAAAGGGCGCGUAGGCGGCCUGCUAAGUCACACGUGAAAUCCCUCGGCUCAACCGGGGAACUGCGUGUGAUACUGGCGGGCUUGAAUUCGGGAGAGGGAUGUGGAAUUCCAGGUG